GGAGACGUAUCGAAGUGGUCAUAACGGGACUGACUCGAAAUCAGUUGUGCCUCCGGGCACCGUGGGUUCGAAUCCCACCGUCUCCGCCA
Molecule: transfer RNA, 89 nt
Filed under: Ruminococcus sp.
Lineage: Bacteria; Bacillati; Bacillota; Clostridia; Eubacteriales; Oscillospiraceae
Also listed under: 2 other names
Description: tRNA-Ser
Rfam family: tRNA
About the family: Transfer RNA (tRNA) molecules are approximately 80 nucleotides in length. Their secondary structure includes four short double-helical elements and three loops (D, anti-codon, and T loops). Further hydrogen bonds mediate the characteristic L-shaped molecular structure. tRNAs have two regions of fundamental functional importance: the anti-codon, which is responsible for specific mRNA codon recognition, and the 3' end, to which the tRNAs corresponding amino acid is attached (by aminoacyl-tRNA synthetases). tRNAs cope with the degeneracy of the genetic code in two manners: having more than one tRNA (with a specific anti-codon) for a particular amino acid; and 'wobble' base-pairing, i.e. permitting non-standard base-pairing at the 3rd anti-codon position.
Source: RNAcentral